ACAAAUUCUCCUCUCAAUAAUAUUUGUCCAAAAGUUGCUAAAAGUAGGAGAUAAAGAGCCUUAUGUAGGUGGCUGCCAAAAGGAGAUAAAAUCCUAGAGAAUAUUCAGCUUGUACAUCAUAAAAGAAACCCUAAUUAGCUACAUCCAUAAGGUACAAGCAUAAAGCAAUGAGGGACCAAAAUCAUAGGCCCAUGAGUGGCGCAUA
This 205-nucleotide unclassified non-coding RNA is filed under the name Hevea brasiliensis (rubber tree). The record is from RNAcentral. Lineage: Eukaryota; Viridiplantae; Streptophyta; Magnoliopsida; Malpighiales; Euphorbiaceae.